CAGUAGCCGCGGUAAAACCAGCAGCCCAAGUGGUGGUCGCGCUUAUUGGGCCUAAAGCGCUCGUAGCCUGGCCGGUAAGUUCCCCGUGAAAUCGGGUCGCCCAACGAUUCGGCUUGCGGGGAAUACUGUCGGUCUUGGGGCCGGGAGACGCCGAGGGUACUCCGGGGGUAGCGGUGAAAUGCUGUAAUCCUCGGGGGACUACCAGUGGCGAAGGCGCUCGGCGAUAACGGGCCUGACGGUGAGGGGCGAAAGCUGGGGGCGCGAACGGAAUUAGAUACCCGCGUAGUCCCUGUCUCUUAUA
This 301-nucleotide ribosomal RNA is filed under the name uncultured bacterium. RNAcentral describes it as "partial 16S ribosomal RNA". It matches the Rfam family "Archaeal small subunit ribosomal RNA", at positions 459 to 759 of the family's 1478-position model. The record is from RNAcentral.